RNAcentral lists this ribosomal RNA (425 nucleotides) under uncultured bacterium. Its description in RNAcentral is "partial 16S ribosomal RNA". It matches the Rfam family "Bacterial small subunit ribosomal RNA", at positions 354 to 796 of the family's 1533-position model. The record is from RNAcentral.
GUGGGGAAUCUUGCGCAAUGGGCGAAAGCCUGACGCAGCCAUGCCGCGUGGAUGAUGAAGGUCUUAGGAUUGUAAAAUUCUUUCACCGGGGACGAUAAUGACGGUACCCGGAGAAGAAGCCCCGGCUAACUUCGUGCCAGCAGCCGCGGUAAUACGAAGGGGGCUAGCGUUGCUCGGAAUUACUGGGCGUAAAGGGCGCGUAGGCGGACAGUUUAGUCAGAGGUGAAAGCCCAGGGCUCAACCUUGGGAUUGCCUUUGAUACUGGCUGUCUUGAGUACGGGAGAGGUGAGUGGAACUCCGAGUGUAGAGGUGAAAUUCGUAGAUAUUCGGAAGAACACCAGUGGCGAAGGCGACUCACUGGCCCGUUACUGACGCUGAGGCGCGAAAGCGUGGGGAGCAAACAGGAUUAGAAACCCUUGUAGUCC